GAUGAAGAACGUAGCGAAAUGCGAUAAGUAAUGUGAAUUGCAGAAUUCAGUGAAUCAUCGAAUCUUUGAACGCACAUUGCGCCCAUUAGCAUUCUAGUGGGCAUGCCUGUUCGAGCGUCAUUUCGACCCUUAAGCCCUGUUGCUUAGCGUUGGGAGCCUACAGUACUGUAGCUCCCCAAAGUUAGUGGCGGAGUCGGUUUCACACUCUAGACGUAGUAAUUUUUUCUCGUCUGUAGUUGAGCCGGUCCCCUGCCGUAAAACACCCAAUUUAUCAAGGUUGACCUCGGAUCAGGUAGGAAUACCCGCUGAACUUAAGCAUAUCAAUAAGCGGAGGA
RNAcentral lists this unclassified non-coding RNA (335 nucleotides) under soil metagenome. Its description in RNAcentral is "partial contains 5.8S ribosomal RNA, internal transcribed spacer 2, and large subunit ribosomal RNA". The stretch from base 1 to 120 matches the Rfam family "5.8S ribosomal RNA", at positions 35 to 154 of the family's 154-position model. The record is from RNAcentral.